RNAcentral lists this ribosomal RNA (496 nucleotides) under uncultured bacterium. RNAcentral's name for it is "partial 16S ribosomal RNA". It matches the Rfam family "Bacterial small subunit ribosomal RNA", at positions 29 to 507 of the family's 1533-position model. The record is from RNAcentral.
AUGAACGCUGGCGGCGUGCCUAAUACAUGCAAGUCGAGCGAACGGACGAGAAGCUUGCUUCUCUGAUGUUAGCGGCGGACGGGUGAGUAACACGUGGAUAACCUACCUAUAAGACUGGGAUAACUUCGGGAAACCGGAGCUAAUACCGGAUGAUAUUUUGAACCGCAUGGUUCAAAAGUGAAAGACGGUCUUGCUGUCACUUAUAGAUGGAUCCGCGCUGCAUUAGCUAGUUGGUAAGGUAACGGCUUACCAAGGCAACGAUGCAUAGCCGACCUGAGAGGGUGAUCGGCCACACUGGAACUGAGACACGGUCCAGACUCCUACGGGAGGCAGCAGUAGGGAAUCUUCCGCAAUGGGCGAAAGCCUGACGGAGCAACGCCGCGUGAGUGAUGAAGGUCUUCGGAUCGUAAAACUCUGUUAUUAGGGAAGAACAUAUGUGUAAGUAACUGUGAACAUCUUGACGGUACCUAAUCAGAAAGCCACGGCUAACUACGUG